RNAcentral lists this ribosomal RNA (466 nucleotides) under uncultured bacterium. RNAcentral's name for it is "bacterial SSU rRNA". It matches the Rfam family "Bacterial small subunit ribosomal RNA", at positions 338 to 795 of the family's 1533-position model. The record is from RNAcentral.
CCUACGGGGGGGCAGCAGUGGGGAAUAUUGGACAAUGGGGGCAACCCUGAUCCAGCCAUGCCGCGUGUGUGAAGAAGGCCUUCGGGUUGUAAAGCACUUUCAGUGAGGAAGAAGGCCUGCGGGUUAAUAGCCGGCAGGAAGGACAUCACUCACAGAAGAAGCACCGGCUAACUCCGUGCCAGCAGCCGCGGUAAUACGGAGGGUGCGAGCGUUAAUCGGAAUUACUGGGCGUAAAGCGCGCGUAGGUGGCUUGAUAAGCCGGUUGUGAAAGCCCCGGGCUCAACCUGGGAACGGCAUCCGGAACUGUCAGGCUAGAGUGCAGGAGAGGAAGGUAGAAUUCCCGGUGUAGCGGUGAAAUGCGUAGAGAUCGGGAGGAAUACCAGUGGCGAAGGCGGCCUUCUGGACUGACACUGACACUGAGGUGCGAAAGCGUGGGUAGCAAACAGGAUUAGAUACCCCAGUAGUC